RNAcentral lists this ribosomal RNA (229 nucleotides) under uncultured bacterium. RNAcentral's name for it is "partial 16S ribosomal RNA". It matches the Rfam family "Bacterial small subunit ribosomal RNA", at positions 99 to 334 of the family's 1533-position model. The record is from RNAcentral.
CGGACGGGUGAGUAAUGUCUGGGAAACUGCCCGAUGGAGGGGGAUAACUACUGGAAACGGUAGCUAAUACCGCAUAACGUCGCAAGACCAAGAGGGGACCUUCGGGCCUCUUGCCAUCGGAUGUGCCCAGAUGGGAUUAGCUAGUAGGUGGGUAACGGCUCACCUAGGCGACGAUCCCUAGCUGGUCUGAGAGGAUGACCAGCCACACUGGAACUGAGACACGGUCCAG